AUCCCCUACGGGACGCAGCAGUGAGGAAUAUUGGUCAAUGGGCUUACGCCUGAACCAGCCAAGUCGCGUGAGGGAAGACUGCCCUAUGGGUUGUAAACCUCUUUUGUCAGGGAGCAACGCCGGCUACGUGUAGCCGGACUGAGAGUACCUGAAGAAAAAGCAUCGGCUAACUCCGUGCCAGCAGCCGGGGUAAUACGUAGGGGGCAAGCGUUGUCCGGAUUUAUUGGGCGUAAAGCGAGUGCAGGCGGUUCAAUAAGUCUGAUGUGCAAGCCUUCGGCUCAACCGGAGAAUUG
Molecule: ribosomal RNA, 293 nt
Filed under: uncultured bacterium
Lineage: Bacteria
Description: partial 16S ribosomal RNA
Rfam family: Bacterial small subunit ribosomal RNA
Source: RNAcentral